This 745-nucleotide ribosomal RNA is filed under the name uncultured bacterium. Its description in RNAcentral is "bacterial SSU rRNA". It matches the Rfam family "Bacterial small subunit ribosomal RNA", at positions 8 to 796 of the family's 1533-position model. The record is from RNAcentral.
AGAGUUUGAUCCUGGCUCAGAGCGAACGCUGGCGGAAUGCUUAACACAUGCAAGUCGCACGGGGGCUUCGGCCUUAGUGGCGGACGGGUGAGUAACGCGUAGGAACGUGUCUUGGGGUGGGGGAUAACGCUGGGAAACUGGCGCUAAUACCGCAUGUCUGCUGCGGCAGAAAAGCCUUCGGGUGCCUUGAGAGCGGCCUGCGUCCGAUUAGCUAGUUGGUGGGGUAAAGGCUUACCAAGGCUUCGAUCGGUAGCUGGUCUGAGAGGACGAUCAGCCACACUGGGACUGAGACACGGCCCAGACUCCUACGGGAGGCAGCAGUGGGGAAUAUUGGACAAUGGGCGCAAGCCUGAUCCAGCAAUUCCGCGUGGGUGAAGAAGGUCUUCGGAUUGUAAAGCCCUUUCGACAGGGACGAUGAUGACGGUACCUGUAGAAGAAGCCCCGGCUAACUUCGUGCCAGCAGCCGCGGUAAUACGAAGGGGGCUAGCGUUGCUCGGAAUUACUGGGCGUAAAGGGCGCGUAGGCGGCGCUGUUAGUCAGGCGUGAAAUUCCUGGGCUCAACCUGGGGACUGCGCUUGAUACGGCAGUGCUUGAGGAUGGAAGAGGCUCGCGGAAUUCCCAGUGUAGAGGUGAAAUUCGUAGAUAUUGGGAAGAACACCGGUGGCGAAGGCGGCGAGCUGGUCCAUUACUGACGCUGAGGCGCGACAGCGUGGGGAGCAAACAGGAUUAGAUACCCUAGUAGUCC